Molecule: ribosomal RNA, 246 nt
Filed under: uncultured bacterium
Lineage: Bacteria
Description: partial 16S ribosomal RNA
Rfam family: Bacterial small subunit ribosomal RNA
Source: RNAcentral
AUACGAAGGGGGCUAGCGUUGUUCGGAAUUACUGGGCGUAAAGCGCAUGUAGGCGGACAUUUAAGUCAGGGUGAAAUCCCGGGGCUCAACCUCGGAACUGCCUUUGAUACUGGGUGUCUAGAGUGUGGAAGAGGUAAGUGGAAUUCCUAGUGUAGCGGUGAAAUGCGUAGAUAUUAGGAGGAACACCAGUGGCGAAGGCGGCUUACUGGUCCAUUACUGACGCUGAGGUGCGAAAGCGUGGGGAGC